This 1262-nucleotide long non-coding RNA is filed under the name Trifolium pratense (red clover). RNAcentral describes it as "long non-coding RNA (TPRA_LNC004930)". The record is from RNAcentral. Lineage: Eukaryota; Viridiplantae; Streptophyta; Magnoliopsida; Fabales; Fabaceae.
UACAAAACUUCUUAGGUCGGUUAGCGUUGCCACCUGACUUAAGAAGUGACGCGGUGGUAGUUGUGUAAUUAUUUCUAACUUUGUUAGGUCUGUUAGCUAUUAACCCGACUUAACAUAACUGACAAAAAAAAUAAAUUUAAUUUCUAUAUGUGUUUGGAGAGUAUCGAACUGACGACACCCAUGAUAUCAAACUAACCAAAGACUUGUUUUGUUUUUUUUUUUACAAAAAACUAACCAAAGACUUUGUUUUCCAAAAUAUAUAUAUAUAUAUAUAUUUUUAAUUUUUUUUUAUUAAUUCCAAUAUUCAUCAUGAGAAAACAAAUUAACAAAAAAAAAAUCAAAUUAACCCUUUCUCGUAUUCCAGAAAUCUCGUCGCCGCUUACCCUUCUUCAUCUUCACCGCUUAAACCCAUAAAUCUUCUCUUCACCGUCAAACUUCACCUUCAUCAAACUCGAACCAUUCAUCUUCAUCUUCAUCUUCAUCUUCUUCACUGCUCAAACCCUCCUAUUGUAUGAUUCUUUGUGCUUUAUGACAGAUUUAACUCCAAUAGGAGAAAUAUGUUAUCAUUUUAACUUUUAUUUCUCACUUUUUAAGCUUACAUUUCAAACUUCAGAGAAACUAAGGUUUCUGAACAAUCCUUACUCACAAGUAUUUUCUCUCUCUGCUGAAGAGCAAUUGAAGAGCACUAAUAAACUAUAGGCAGUUUAGAAUUCAAGGAUUAGAGACAACCACGUUAAGGUAUCUCUUUUAUUUUUAUUUUUAUAUUAGCUAUGUAUGAUAAACAGCUUAAUUGAUAUGUUAUUUACUUCUACUUGUACAAUUGUAUACAAAUUAGCUAUGUAUGAUUUUAUAAUAUGAUUAUAUGAUACCUUUGCUUCUAGAGUUUUGUGGUUUUUUUAUAUGGAUAAUGCUACCUUGUCUCUACUAAAUUGGGGCUGGUCGUCCUUUUAUAAUGUGAGAUAUUUAGUUUUGUAUACUGUGUUUCAAUUAUAUGGACAUGUACUUAAGUAAGCACUAGGACUGUGUUUGUAUUCUCUCUUUUUUUUUUUUUUAAUGCNNNNNNNNNNNNNNNNNNNNNNNNNNNNNNNUUUUUUUUUUAAUGCGUGUUUGUAGUCUCUUUGUAAAUGAAGGUUUUGUAAUUAUAGAUUUAUAGUUAUUACUUUAUUAAUUAGCAUAUAAAUGGUGGUUGAUUGUUUGGGUUUUUAUUCUGACUAUAACUAGGAUUGGCUAUUAUGUUUUAAGGUUGCAGCUUACUAUACUAC